UUGAACGCUGGCGGCAGGCCUAACACAUGCAAGUCGAGCGGCAGCGCGGGGCAACCUGGCGGCGAGCGGCGGACGGGUGAGUAACGCGUAGGAAUCUACCCAGUAGCGGGGGAUAGCCCGGGGAAACUCGGAUUAAUACCGCAUACGCCCUAAGGGGGAAAGCAGGGGAUCGUAAGACCUUGCACUAUUGGAAGAGCCUGCGUUGGAUUAGCUAGUUGGUAGGGUAAAGGCCUACCAAGGCGACGAUCCAUAACUGGUCUGAGGGGAUGAUCAGUAAAACCGGAACUUAGACCCGGUCCGGACUCCUACGGGAGGCAGCAGUGGGGAAUAUUGGAAAAUGGGGGCAACCCUGUUCCAGCCAUGCCGCGUGUGUGAAGAAGGCCUUCGGGUUGUAAAGCACUUUAAGUGGGGAGAAAGGUUCGGCAGCUAAUACCUGCCGGAAGUGAUGUUACCCACAGAAUAAGCACCGGCUAACUCUGUGCCAGCAGCCGCCGUAA
RNAcentral lists this ribosomal RNA (497 nucleotides) under uncultured bacterium. Its description in RNAcentral is "partial 16S ribosomal RNA". It matches the Rfam family "Bacterial small subunit ribosomal RNA", at positions 29 to 523 of the family's 1533-position model. The record is from RNAcentral.